GCAUAAUUCACUACUCUAAGGAAGCAAUUUCCGGAAUUUGGGAAGUUGUUUUUCUUCACAAAAACAGCACAAAUAUACACAUCAAGAAGGUUGAAAGAAGAUCACAUUAUCAAAUAGGAGCAUGUUUUCCAAAAAGUAAGAUUGAUUCAGCCAGCAGAUGUGGCAUAUUGGCACAAUUGGUCAGCAUUUUUGACACAGAACAUAAAUAUAUAUUUGAAUUAAAAACCCACUAAAAAUUCACCAAAAAUUAAAUUCUGGACCCAUAAUCUCAAGUAUAACAAGUUUAGUGCUAAGAACCUUGAAAUUGAAUCCAUCAGAUUUAAAUUCAGGAUCCACCUAUGAAUUGAUAAUGUAGAAGACAGACAUACCGUGCUUAUCAGGAAGAAGAACAGAGAUGAUUCUGGCACCAAAGUUAGUGAUCUUAACAGAGAAAUCUCCUUUCUUGAUCUUAUAGAUUCCUAUCUUUCGCCCUCUAACAUUGGCAGCAGCCAACAGAUGAAGAAUGAAAAAACAACAACAAUUUCCAAAUAGAAACCCGGCAUCCUUUCCUCCAAGAUUGUCUUGAAGAAGAAUGAAAAAACAGAUCAACAAAUUAAUCUUUGAAGACAUAGUCAACUCCUGUGGUUUUGACGCAGAGAGCUUCUUCAGUCUUGAAAAUAUGCACUCCUCCAAUUUUGGAAUGAUUUUAACUCAUUAUCUGCAAUGUGCUUGAAAAUGGGAUAACUCCAUUGAAAAUCAACAAUGAUGAGUGGACAGACAGAGUCAAGGUAGCGGUCCCCAUUACCCACGUUUCUGUUGACACAGGUACAAAUUGAGCCGAGUGUUUAGCGGAGACAAACUAAGGUCCGCGUACACAUUAAAGGUGUUAAAUGGGUGGGCCGGGUCGCUAAUUUUUGGACUCGUACGGG
Molecule: long non-coding RNA, 908 nt
Filed under: Nicotiana benthamiana
Lineage: Eukaryota; Viridiplantae; Streptophyta; Magnoliopsida; Solanales; Solanaceae
Description: long non-coding RNA (NBEN_LNC021749)
Source: RNAcentral